CCUACGGGAGGCAGCAGUGAGGAAUAUUGGUCAAUGGGCGCGAGCCUGAACCAGCCAAGUCGCGUGAGGGAGGACGGCCCUACGGGUUGUAAACCUCUUUUGCCGGGGAGCAACGGGCGCCACGUGUGGCGCCACUGAGAGUACCCGGAGAAACAGCAUCGGCUAACUCCGUGCCAGCAGCCGCGGUAAUACGGGGGAUGCGAGCGUUAUCCGGAUUUAUUGGGUUUAAGGGGUGCGUAGGCGGUACGUUAGGUCAGUGGUCAAAUUGAGGGGCUCAACCCCUUCCCGCCAUUGAAACUGGCGUUCUUGAGUGGAAGAGAAGUAUGCGGAAUGCGUGGUGUAGCGGUGAAAUGCAUAGAUAUCACGCAGAACCCCGAUUGCGAAGGCAGCAUGCCGGCUUCCGACUGACGCUGAAGCACGAAAGCGUGGGGAUCGAACAGGAUUAGAUACCCCUGUAGUC
RNAcentral lists this ribosomal RNA (460 nucleotides) under uncultured bacterium. RNAcentral's name for it is "partial 16S ribosomal RNA". It matches the Rfam family "Bacterial small subunit ribosomal RNA", at positions 338 to 795 of the family's 1533-position model. The record is from RNAcentral.